UAGGAGUAGUUCAACGGUAGAAUGUGAGUCUCCAAAACUCAAUAUAAGGGUUCAAUUCCCUUCUCUCUUAU
Molecule: transfer RNA, 71 nt
Filed under: compost metagenome
Description: tRNA-Trp
Rfam family: tRNA
About the family: Transfer RNA (tRNA) molecules are approximately 80 nucleotides in length. Their secondary structure includes four short double-helical elements and three loops (D, anti-codon, and T loops). Further hydrogen bonds mediate the characteristic L-shaped molecular structure. tRNAs have two regions of fundamental functional importance: the anti-codon, which is responsible for specific mRNA codon recognition, and the 3' end, to which the tRNAs corresponding amino acid is attached (by aminoacyl-tRNA synthetases). tRNAs cope with the degeneracy of the genetic code in two manners: having more than one tRNA (with a specific anti-codon) for a particular amino acid; and 'wobble' base-pairing, i.e. permitting non-standard base-pairing at the 3rd anti-codon position.
Source: RNAcentral